GAAGACCAUUGUCACAAUGAGAUGGCAUAGCUGAGCACCCAAAGGUUCACAUUCCGUGAAUCAUCACAUUUCAGGUAUAACUUCCAUCCAGUAAAGAAAAUCAGGAGGGCACAUCUCCAGUAAGUUUCCUUAAAGAUAUCUACUUAUGGGUUAACUAUUCAAAGGCCAGCAUAGAGAUCCCAUAAAGGACAAUGAGAGAUAUGAGUGACUCAGCAUCAACUGAUAAUGUUUGCCCUGAUGUGAACUCCAGAAACAAUUCUUUUUGAAUUGGGGAUAAAAAGGCAGGGGUAAGAACAAACAAUGCAAAUGGAGUGAGUUGGGCCCAGAGGCAAAUAGGAAGAGGAGAGCUGGCUGGAUUGCUUUUGGAAAACUGCAAGAUUCUUUUGAUGACCCUGAAACAAAGACCUGCCUUUUUUAUAGUGCCAAUGUUUUUGUAAUGUUGCUGUUAAGUCUGCAUUAUAAGUAGAAUUAUUGCUGAUGUACAUUACAA
This is a long non-coding RNA of Monodelphis domestica (gray short-tailed opossum), 490 nucleotides long. RefSeq lists it as uncharacterized. The record is from RefSeq and is a predicted model, not a curated record. NCBI's taxonomy places the organism in Eukaryota, Metazoa, Chordata, Mammalia, Didelphimorphia, Didelphidae.